CAGAGGCACGAGGUGCUGUGAGCUUUGAUGUAUAAAUAAACUCAGACUCAUCUUCUUCAGCUGUACACAUCUGAUCCCUCUCUCUCUCUGGAUCUCUCACAUAUCAGAAAGUGAAAAUGGUGAAUAUUGUGGAAAACGUGAAGAAAGGCAUAAGUAAUCUUGUUGAGAUUGUAUCUUGCGGCAGCAGAGGCACAAAGGAAAGUGAUGUAGAAGUUCCAAAGAUGAAAGUUCAGACUAAAUUACAAGCGACGACAGCAAGAAGUGCGGCUCCUGAAGACAAACCCAGUGGUCCUGGGGUUGAAUCGAGUUAGAAGAUGAGGCGAUUAAAGAAACACAAAAAUUCGCCAUAGUAGUUAUUCAUUGUACUUCUAUUUCUAUUUCUCUUCUUUAUUGUUUCAAUUGUUUAAGUAUCUAUGUUAUGUAGCGUUGCCAGAUUUGCACCUUAAUUAAUAUGAAGAUUUAAUUUGUUAUA
Salvia miltiorrhiza (redroot sage) is the source of this 472-nucleotide long non-coding RNA. RefSeq lists it as uncharacterized. Lineage: Eukaryota; Viridiplantae; Streptophyta; Magnoliopsida; Lamiales; Lamiaceae. The record is from RefSeq and is a predicted model, not a curated record. The transcript is spliced from 3 exons.